Oreochromis niloticus (Nile tilapia) is the source of this 632-nucleotide long non-coding RNA. RefSeq lists it as uncharacterized. The record is from RefSeq and is a predicted model, not a curated record. Lineage: Eukaryota; Metazoa; Chordata; Actinopteri; Cichliformes; Cichlidae. The transcript has 3 exons.
GGCUGUGAGUCAUUACAAAAGCAAGAAGCAGCUUCUCCAGAAAGAGCAGCUGGAUGGACUCAAACGGUCUCUGGAGGUCAAAGAGCGGGAAAUGCAGGCUAUUAUCAUGGAAAAAGUGCUACUUCAGCUCAGGUUGGACAACGCCCAAACCAAUGAUAAGAUGCUUGCAAACAGGGUGGCCAGCUUGGAGGCAAAGUUGGGCUCUACUGACCAUACCUUUAAAGUGCACAAUGAGACUCUGUUCACUGGAGGCAAUGCAUCAGGCUCAUGUUUCUUUGAGGUCCUAAACACAAACUCGGGUGUUUGAAAGAGAGCACAAGAGAAGAGAGCCAUGAAGUGUGAAGGUGCCAGCAGGACUAUUGCACAAUAGGAGAAUCAAAUGACCUGUGCUGAAGAUGAGACGGAAGUGGAUUCAGCCCCAAAUAAUUCAGCUUCAUCUUUCAAAUGGCGCAGAACCAAACAGGUUAUGAACUUCACUGGGCGCCAGUUUAGCUCAGUGAGUGAGAAGGCACCAUGUGCCGCAUGGCUGCAGGGUAGCGGCCUGGGUUUGAGUCCGAUCCAUGGCCCUUUUUUGCAUGUCUCCUCCUUUUUUCUCUCCCUUCCUUCCUGUCUGUCUACACUGUCUCUAUCAA